AUGAAGGACCUUGGAGAAGCUGCUUACAUAUUAGGCAUCAAGAUCUAUAGGGAUAGAUCGAGACGCCUCAUAGGUCUUUCACAAAGCACAUACCUUGAUAAGAUUUUGAAGAAGUUCAAAAUGGAUCAGUCCAAGAAAGGGUUCUUGCCUGUACUACAAGGUGUGAGAUUGAGCUCGGCUCAAUGCCCGACCACAGCAGAAGAUAAAGAAGAGAUGAGUGGCAUCCCCUAUGCCUCAGCCAUAGGAUCUAUUAUGUAUGCUGUGCUGUGUACCAGACCAGAUGUAAACCUUGCCGUAAGUUUGGUAGGAAGGUACCAAAGUAAACCCGGCAAGGAACACUAG
RNAcentral lists this ribosomal RNA (342 nucleotides) under Triticum aestivum (bread wheat). RNAcentral describes it as "partial small subunit ribosomal RNA". The record is from RNAcentral. Lineage: Eukaryota; Viridiplantae; Streptophyta; Magnoliopsida; Poales; Poaceae.